RNAcentral lists this ribosomal RNA (253 nucleotides) under uncultured bacterium. Its description in RNAcentral is "partial 16S ribosomal RNA". It matches the Rfam family "Bacterial small subunit ribosomal RNA", at positions 524 to 776 of the family's 1533-position model. The record is from RNAcentral.
GACGUAGGGCGCGAGCGUUGCUCGGAAUGACUGGGCGUAAAGGGCGCGUAGGCGGUGUACACAGUCAGGCGUGAAAUUCCCGGGCUCAACCUGGGGGCUGCGCUUGAUACAUGUACGCUUGAGUUCGGAAGAGGGUCGUGGAAUUUCGGGUGUAGCGGUGGAAUGCGUAGAUAUCCGAAAGAACACCGGUGGCGAAGGCGGUGGUCUGGGCCUGAACUGACGCUGAGGAGCGAAAGCCAGGGGAGCAAACGGG